This 497-nucleotide ribosomal RNA is filed under the name uncultured bacterium. RNAcentral's name for it is "partial 16S ribosomal RNA". It matches the Rfam family "Bacterial small subunit ribosomal RNA", at positions 28 to 507 of the family's 1533-position model. The record is from RNAcentral.
GAUGAACGCUGGCGGCGUGCCUAAUACAUGCAAGUCGAGCGAACAGACGAGGAGCUUGCUCCUUUGACGUUAGCGGCGGACGGGUGUGUAACACGUGGAUAACCUACCUAUAAGACUGGGAUAACUUCGGGAAACCGGAGCUAAUACCGGAUAAUAUAUUGAACCGCAUGGUUCAAUAGUGAAAGACGGUUUUGCUGGCACUUAUAGCUGGUUCCGGGCCGCAUUAGCUAGUUGGUAAGGUAACGGCUUACCAAGGCUACGAGGCGUAGCCGACCUGAGAGAGGGAUCGGCCACACGGGAACUGAGACACGGUCCAGGCGCCUACGGGAGGCAGCAGUAGGGAAUGGGCCGCAAUGGGCGAAAGCCUGACGGAGCAACGGCGAGUGAGUGACGAAGGUGUUCGGAUCGUAAAACCCUGUUAUUAGGGAAGAACAAAUGUGGAAGUAACUAUGCACGGCUUGACGGUACCUAAUCAGAAAGCCACGGCUAACUACGUG